This 411-nucleotide long non-coding RNA is filed under the name Gallus gallus (chicken). Its description in RNAcentral is "long non-coding RNA NONGGAT005374". Lineage: Eukaryota; Metazoa; Chordata; Aves; Galliformes; Phasianidae. The record is from RNAcentral.
UUAUCUGCUGGUGGAGAGCUUUCCUCUGCCACUGCUGGAGGCAGCACACCUUUGACCUGAAGGUGUUUAUAAGGCAGCAAUUAUUCCCGGUUACUCUUUAACAGUAGGACGCUUAAAAUCCCAUUGAUUUUAUUGAAUCCCGUGCUCUGUUUGUCCUUCCCCUCGCCAGCACUCACAGUGAUUCAUGGGGUGGCUGAGACCUCGCGGCGCUCUGCAGCCUAUAAACCUUUGGAGUGGGCCCACUCCUGUCCUGCUGUGCCUUCACCUCUCCCAUGCUCGGAAGGGCAUUCCAGGCUGAGGUUUGGCUGUGAUUCCUGCUGGCAGCAGCUCCUGCCCUGUGAGCCUUCCUGAGCCGCAGGUAUGGAUGGAAGCAGAGCUCCACGGCGAUGAUCCCUCUUUGAUCUGCGAAGC